This 511-nucleotide ribosomal RNA is filed under the name uncultured bacterium. Its description in RNAcentral is "bacterial SSU rRNA". It matches the Rfam family "Bacterial small subunit ribosomal RNA", at positions 28 to 495 of the family's 1533-position model. The record is from RNAcentral.
GACGAACGCUGGCGGCGUGCCUAAUACAUGCAAGUCGAACGCACUCUCGUUUAGAUUGAAGGAGCUUGCUCCUGAUUGAUAAACAUUUGAGUGAGUGGCGGACGGGUGAGUAACACGUGGGUAACCUGCCCUAAAGUGGGGGAUAACAUUUGGAAACAGAUGCUAAUACCGCAUAAAACCUAACACCGCAUGGUGUAGGGUUGAAAGAUGGUUUCGGCUAUCACUUUAGGAUGGACCCCGCGGUGCAUUAGUUAGUUGGUGAGGUAAAGGCUCACCAAGACCGUGAUGCAUAGCCGACCUGAGAGGGUAAAUCGGCCACACUGGGACUGAGACACGGCCCAGACUCCUACGGGAGGCAGCAGUAGGGAAUCUUCCACAAUGGACGAAAGUCUGAUGGAGCAACGCCGCGUGAGUGAAGAAGGUUUUCGGAUCGUAAAACUCUGUUGUUGGAGAAGAAUGUAUCUGAUAGUAACUGAAUCAGGUAGUGACGGUAUCCAACCAGAAAGCCAGG